GGGUUGUGAGGUUAAGCGACUAAGCGUACACGGUGGAUGCCCUGGCAGUCAGAGGCGAUGAAGGGCGUGCUAAUCUGCGAUAAGCGCCGGUAAGGUGAUAUGAACCGUUAUAACCGGCGAUACCCGAAUGGGGAAACCCAGUGUGACUCGUCACACUAUCAUUAACUGAAUCCAUAGGUUAAUGAGGCGAACCGGGGGAACUGAAACAUCUAAGUACCCCGAGGAAAAGAAAUCAACCGAGAUUCCCCCAGUAGCGGCGAGCGAACGGGGAGGAGCCCAGAGCCUGAAUCAGCAUGUGUGUUAGUGGAAGCGUCUGGAAAGGCGCGCGAUACAGGGUGACAGCCCCGUACACAAAAGCGCAUGUGCUGUGAGCUCGAUGAGUAGGGCGGGACACGUGGUAUCCUGUCUGAAUAUGGGGGGACCAUCCUCCAAGGCUAAAUACUCCUGACUGACCGAUAGUGAACCAGUACCGUGAGGGAAAGGCGAAAAGAACCCCGGCGAGGGGAGUGAAAAAGAACCUGAAACCGUGUACGUACAAGCAGUGGGAGCACCCUUUGGGGUGUGACUGCGUACCUUUUGUAUAAUGGGUCAGCGACUUAUAUUCUGUAGCAAGGUUAACCGAAUAGGGGAGCCGGAGGGAAACCGAGUCUUAAUUGGGCGUUAAGUUGCAGGGUAUAGACCCGAAACCCGGUGAUCUAGCCAUGGGCAGGUUGAAGGUUGGGUAACACUAACUGGAGGACCGAACCGACUAAUGUUGAAAAAUUAGCGGAUGACCUGUGGCUGGGGGUGAAAGGCCAAUCAAACCGGGAGAUAGCUGGUUCUCCCCGAAAGCUAUUUAGGUAGCGCCUCGUGAAUUCAUCUCCGGGGGUAGAGCACUGUUUCGGCUAGGGGGCCAUCCCGGCUUACCAACCCGAUGCAAACUGCGAAUACCGGAGAAUGUUAUCACGGGAGACACACGGCGGGUGCUAACGUCCGUCGUGAAGAGGGAAACAACCCAGACCGCCAGCUAAGGUCCCAAAGUCAUGGUUAAGUGGGAAACGAUGUGGGAAGGCCCAGACAGCCAGGAUGUUGGCUUAGAAGCAGCCAUCAUUUAAAGAAAGCGUAAUAGCUCACUGGUCGAGUCGGCCUGCGCGGAAGAUGUAACGGGGCUAAACCAUGCACCGAAGCUGCGGCAGCGAACGUAUCACUUAAAGCGAUUCAGCGGGUUACGAUUGACGGAGCGAAGCGACGUCAAAGCGUAUACAAAGUCGAGUCGGUUUAAGGAUACGUUCGUUGGGUAGGGGAGCGUUCUGUAAGCCUGUGAAGGUGGCCUGUGAGGGUUGCUGGAGGUAUCAGAAGUGCGAAUGCUGACAUAAGUAACGAUAAAGCGGGUGAAAAGCCCGCUCGCCGGAAGACCAAGGGUUCCUGUCCAACGUUAAUCGGGGCAGGGUGAGUCGACCCCUAAGGCGAGGCCGAAAGGCGUAGUCGAUGGGAAACGGGUUAAUAUUCCCGUACUUGGUGUUACUGCGAAGGGGGGACGGAGAAGGCUAUGUUGGCCGGGCGACGGUUGUCCCGGUUUAAGCGUGUAGGUGUGUGUUCCAGGUAAAUCCGGUUCACUUUAACACUGAGGCGUGACGACGAGGCACUACGGUGCUGAAGCAACAAAUGCCCUGCUUCCAGGAAAAGCCUCUAAGCAUCAGGUAACAUCAAAUCGUACCCCAAACCGACACAGGUGGUCAGGUAGAGAAUACCAAGGCGCUUGAGAGAACUCGGGUGAAGGAACUAGGCAAAAUGGUGCCGUAACUUCGGGAGAAGGCACGCUGACACGUAGGUGAAGUGAUUUACUCACGGAGCUGAAGUCAGUCGAAGAUACCAGCUGGCUGCAACUGUUUAUUAAAAACACAGCACUGUGCAAACACGAAAGUGGACGUAUACGGUGUGACGCCUGCCCGGUGCCGGAAGGUUAAUUGAUGGGGUCAGCGCAAGCGAAGCUCCUGAUCGAAGCCCCGGUAAACGGCGGCCGUAACUAUAACGGUCCUAAGGUAGCGAAAUUCCUUGUCGGGUAAGUUCCGACCUGCACGAAUGGCGUAAUGAUGGCCAGGCUGUCUCCACCCGAGACUCAGUGAAAUUGAACUCGCUGUGAAGAUGCAGUGUACCCGCGGCAAGACGGAAAGACCCCGUGAACCUUUACUAUAGCUUGACACUGAACAUUGAGCCUUGAUGUGUAGGAUAGGUGGGAGGCUUUGAAGUGUGGACGCCAGUCUGCAUGGAGCCGACCUUGAAAUACCACCCUUUAAUGUUUGAUGUUCUAACGUGGACCCGUAAUCCGGGUUGCGGACAGUGUCUGGUGGGUAGUUUGACUGGGGCGGUCUCCUCCUAAAGAGUAACGGAGGAGCACGAAGGUUGGCUAAUCCUGGUCGGACAUCAGGAGGUUAGUGCAAUGGCAUAAGCCAGCUUGACUGCGAGCGUGACGGCGCGAGCAGGUGCGAAAGCAGGUCAUAGUGAUCCGGUGGUUCUGAAUGGAAGGGCCAUCGCUCAACGGAUAAAAGGUACUCCGGGGAUAACAGGCUGAUACCGCCCAAGAGUUCAUAUCGACGGCGGUGUUUGGCACCUCGAUGUCGGCUCAUCACAUCCUGGGGCUGAAGUAGGUCCCAAGGGUAUGGCUGUUCGCCAUUUAAAGUGGUACGCGAGCUGGGUUUAGAACGUCGUGAGACAGUUCGGUCCCUAUCUGCCGUGGGCGCUGGAGAACUGAGGGGGGCUGCUCCUAGUACGAGAGGACCGGAGUGGACGCAUCACUGGUGUUCGGGUUGUCAUGCCAAUGGCACUGCCCGGUAGCUAAAUGCGGAAGAGAUAAGUGCUGAAAGCAUCUAAGCACGAAACUUGCCCCGAGAUGAGUUCUCCCUGAGACUUUAGGUCUCCUGAAGGAACGUUGAAGACGACGACGUUGAUAGGCCGGGUGUGUAAGCGCAGCGAUGCGUUGAGCUAACCGGUACUAAUGAACCGUGAGGCUUAACCUUACAACGCCGAAG
RNAcentral lists this ribosomal RNA (3008 nucleotides) under Salmonella enterica. RNAcentral describes it as "23S ribosomal RNA". It matches the Rfam family "Bacterial large subunit ribosomal RNA". The record is from RNAcentral. Lineage: Bacteria; Pseudomonadati; Pseudomonadota; Gammaproteobacteria; Enterobacterales; Enterobacteriaceae.